RNAcentral lists this ribosomal RNA (876 nucleotides) under Sceptonia sp. ER-22. Its description in RNAcentral is "SSU rRNA". It matches the Rfam family "Eukaryotic small subunit ribosomal RNA", at positions 455 to 1253 of the family's 1831-position model. The record is from RNAcentral. Lineage: Eukaryota; Metazoa; Arthropoda; Insecta; Diptera; Mycetophilidae.
CACGGGGAGGUAGUGACGAAAAAUAACAAUACAAGACUCACAUCCGAGGCCUUGUAAUUGGAAUGAGUACACUUUAAAUCCUUUAACAAGGAUCAAUUGGAGGGCAAGUCUGGUGCCAGCAGCCGCGGUAAUUCCAGCUCCAAUAGCGUAUAUUAAAGUUGUUGCGGUUAAAACGUUCGUAGUUGAACUUGUGUCUCGCACGGGCAGUUACCAAGGACUAGUUUACUAAUCCGGUAUCAUGUCUUAUCUUUACAUUUUUUCCGAUUUGUGAAAAGUGCGUAGACGUAUUAUCGGCGUGUUCGCUCUCGUAGCGUUCACAUCAGCUCAUUUCAUUGAUCUUCACCGAUUGAUGUUGUGAGCCGAUACUAAUUACUUUGAACAAAUUAGAGUGCUUCAAGCAGGCUUCAAUGCCUAAAUAUUCUGUGCAUGGAAUAAUGAAAUAGGACAUCUGUUCUACUUUCAUUGGUUUUUUAGACCAAGAUGUAAUGAUUAAUGGAAGCAGUUGGGGGCAUUAGUAUUACAACGCGAGAGGUGAAAUUCUUAGACCGUUGUAAGACUGACUAAAGCGAAAGCAUUUGCCAAAGAUGUUUUCAUUUAAUCAAGAACGAAAGUUAGAGGUUCGAAGGCGAUCAGAUACCGCCCUAGUUCUAACCAUAAACGAUGCCAGCUAGCAAUUGAGUGUAGCUACUACUAUGGCUCUUUCAGUCGCUUCUCGGGAAACCAAAGCUUUUGGGCUCCGGGGGAAGUAUGGUUGCAAAGCUGAAACUUAAAGGAAUUGACGGAAGGGCACCACCAGGAGUGGAGCCUGCGGCUUAAUUUGACUCAACACGGGAAAACUUACCAGGUCCGAACAUAAAUGAGUAAGACAGAUUGAUA